AAUAAAGAAAAUAGAUUCCAUGGAAUCAAUGAAUUGAUUUGCUUUACUAAAGAGAGAUCUUGACUGAUUGAAAUUUAACUGUUAAAUUAGAGUUUUUUUGUUAUGUAAAAUGAACUGUGUGAGGAAUCUAAACACUUAUUUUUUUGUUCUUUCUUUGUCGUUGAUAGAAGAAUAUUUCAGUCCUGAUAUUUGCUGUAACUAAUAAUUACUGGAUAAACAGAGAAGACACAUGGAGGAUAUUUUACCUGGGUCCAACAAAACCAUAGCAACAGCAGCAAGUUGAAAAGAGCAAAAAAAAAAAAAAGAGAGAGACCGAAGUACAAUUACAAUCCCAUCCCACAAAAAGGUCAAGGGCUACCUGAAAGACCGGUGGCCCCAGGAUCCUCAAAGCAUCCAAACCAUCCCUAUACUCUCAGG
This 417-nucleotide long non-coding RNA is filed under the name Homo sapiens (human). RNAcentral's name for it is "non-protein coding lnc-OR2F1-1:1". Lineage: Eukaryota; Metazoa; Chordata; Mammalia; Primates; Hominidae. The record is from RNAcentral.